Gavialis gangeticus (Gharial) is the source of this 223-nucleotide long non-coding RNA. RefSeq lists it as uncharacterized. The record is from RefSeq and is a predicted model, not a curated record. NCBI's taxonomy places the organism in Eukaryota, Metazoa, Chordata, Crocodylia, Gavialidae. The transcript has 3 exons.
GUUAGCCUCAUGGGUGGGGUUUAGUCAACAGACAGAGCACAGAGGAGCUGUGGUUCCAAAUGAGGGUGAAGGCCUAACCAGGAGAAGACAAAGAAAUGGAGUCCAAUCAAGAGCUGUAGAAAUAGAUUGUUUUGUCCUGCAGUCUCUAGCAACUACAUUAACCUCAGGUGUCACCUGUAACACCAUAGGCAAAAUAUUUCAAACUGACAAUUUUUUCAGUUUU